AAUCGCCAGCGCUUCGAAGUCCGGAAGCCUGGGCAUGCGAGCCAUCCCUCAUGUGUCAGAUAUGGAAACAAUGAGUUUCCAUAGUUUCUAUUUAUGCACCAUUCGGGAGCGCUUAUCCAUAACCCAUCGAAUUCGAGGUUACCCACGGCGCACCACGCACCCGGCGGUCACCUCAAAGCACAUUCAACGAAGGAAUAUCCCAUGAUCGAACUUCGGCCAUUCAACAAACUCGGCAGCGCCAAUCACGGCUGGC
RNAcentral lists this unclassified non-coding RNA (253 nucleotides) under Hevea brasiliensis (rubber tree). The record is from RNAcentral. Lineage: Eukaryota; Viridiplantae; Streptophyta; Magnoliopsida; Malpighiales; Euphorbiaceae.